Struthio camelus australis is the source of this 1954-nucleotide non-coding RNA. The record is from RefSeq and is a predicted model, not a curated record. NCBI's taxonomy places the organism in Eukaryota, Metazoa, Chordata, Aves, Struthioniformes, Struthionidae.
AUGUGCAGGCAGAUCACCCACAGUAGUGGCUGCCCCAGCAGUGUAGUGUGGGGUUCUGAUUCCUUGUAGAGGUUUCAUCCAAACCCUAUCAAGCUCUAAGUGCAUAUUUUUUUUUACCUUUUCUCAACUUUGAAUUUACUUCACAAUCUCUGGAUUUUGACAUUUUAUGUCAUUUCUGGAACUGCUACAGUUACAUUACAAGAUAAAGGGAGACAAAGAAUAAAAACCAGAAGAACUGCUUCACGUGAAGAGUGAGCUUUCAGACUGUGCUUUUUGCAGGUUCACAGAGCACAGGGGAGCGCCUACGUGGAGCAGUAAGCGCUGGGUCUGCUACAGUUCUCGGGGGUGCGAAGAAGGGAAUUUUGCGCACUCAGACUCACAAGGAACUCUCCCAGUGCCACCGGUGCACAGGGUGGCUGGGACAUGUAGGCAGUUCUGCUCUUUCCCAAGGGCCAAGUUGACUUGUUUUCAAAACUGCUGACGUGUACGUGAGCUUCAGAGGAGACACAAAUUGCACUUACUGUAGUUCUGGCAACUACCUGGGCCAGAUUUACACUGGAGGUAUAUUAAAUACAAGAGAGGUGGAAGGAACUGUGGGUGAAUAUGGGUAUCCAGCUCUUCAAGUGCACUGCCUCUACAUGUACGUUUCGUCCCCUGAAGAAAAAAAUUCCAAGUGGGGCCUUUCACAUAUCAUAUUGGCUUAUUUAUCCCUUUCUCUAACUAUAUCCACAACCAAAUUGUCCUUCAGUGCCCCUAGUAGCUUGCGACAGAGUGCUGUUUCAAUAAUUACUGAAGGUUUCUAUAGUACGUUUGUGAUAAUGUUCACCAAAGGGACCCAAACCAGGAAAGAUGGGCAUCAUCAUUUUCUUUUGAAACCGAGACCGAGUCUGAGUCACUGAGCCGGCCACUGACUUGCUCAGCAAAUCAGCAGUAGCACCAAACAUAUUGUAUUUAUUGAAUAUUAUGGAGGGAAACAGUGAGAUACAGGAUGGCAACGCCAGUGAUACAAAAGGAGCUGGACGGCACAGGAAAACGAACUGAGCCAGGUAUUGGCCAGCCACCAGGAUGGGCAUAUUUAUAACAAAGGUCAUCUGAGGGUCACAAUCAGGAUAUAAAGGGAAUACUGCUUUGUUUGCAUUUAGAAUGAUCCACACUUCACCAAGAGCAUUCAGCACAUCUUUAGGGGGUAAAAAUGCUUAUGUAUUUGCCAAGAUUGUAAUCAAAAAGAAGCUUUUAUUUUAGUACUUUUUGACUUUUUUUAAGCUUUUCAAGUAAGCAAGGAUAUUAUUCAUUUGGAUUGUGUAAAAUCUUCACCUACAGAGAAGCCCAGCUGUGUUCAAUGACUCUGCAUUACACCAUCUUCUGUCUUACAGGGUCAGUGCAAUUCUUAAAGGCUGGAGUGUAAAAAUGAUGUUGCAGUAUGUUUGUAUUUUUGUAGUACGUUUGCUUUGUCUUUAUCCACAGAAACUUAUCCCAUUGCCUAAACCCCUUUCCAUACUAGGCUUUAUUUACAAAUUGACAGCCAAACAUUGUAGUCUUUUUGACAGUGUGCAAUUAAUCGCACACGAUCCGUUUAGGCUUCAAGAUGUACCUUUCAUAAAUGAUAUAUUCCAAAAAGCAGUCCAAUUGGCUGCUUUGCAUAUUGCAUAUAUUUUUCAUAUUUCCAAGGCAGAACAUAUGCCAAACCAUUUUAUGGAAGUACAGACAUGGGAAAGAUGAUUUGGAAGAAAGGACAGCACCCAGAGGUUCUGUUUCUUCCACCCACCUGCUCCAAACUGGCCACCAUGAAUUCCAGGCAAUUAAAAUGGACAUGAGUUCUGAAGCAUUUUAAAAGGGGCUUUGCUUUCCAAAUGCGUCCAGUGUUCUCCACCACCCCACUGAGGGACACAGCAUUUCAGUGAUGGCUGCAGGGAAGUACCUGAUUUAAUUAGAUAAAUAAGUAAUUAUGCCAUAA